UGGACAGUGGUGCAACUGGUUGAGCACAUAUGUUUCCAUGUGCAAGGACCUGGGUUCAAGUCCCAGCUAUCCUC
Molecule: transfer RNA, 74 nt
Filed under: Erinaceus europaeus (western European hedgehog)
Lineage: Eukaryota; Metazoa; Chordata; Mammalia; Eulipotyphla; Erinaceidae
Rfam family: tRNA
About the family: Transfer RNA (tRNA) molecules are approximately 80 nucleotides in length.
Source: Rfam by way of RNAcentral